This 250-nucleotide ribosomal RNA is filed under the name uncultured bacterium. RNAcentral's name for it is "partial 16S ribosomal RNA". It matches the Rfam family "Bacterial small subunit ribosomal RNA", at positions 524 to 773 of the family's 1533-position model. The record is from RNAcentral.
UACGUAGGAUGCAAGCGUUGUCCGGAAUUAUUGGGCGUAAAGAGUUCGUAGGCGGCAUAUCAAGUCUGGUGUUAAAGACUGGGGCUCAACCCCAGAAAAGCACUGGAUACUGAUAAGCUAGAGUACAGAAGAGGCAAGGGGAAUUCCCAGUGUAGCGGUGAAAUGCGUAGAUAUUGGGAGGAACACCAGUGGCGUAAGCGCCUUGCUGGGCUGUUACUGACGCUGAGGAACGAAAGCCAGGGGAGCAAAU